RNAcentral lists this ribosomal RNA (253 nucleotides) under uncultured Caldilinea sp. Its description in RNAcentral is "partial 16S ribosomal RNA". It matches the Rfam family "Bacterial small subunit ribosomal RNA", at positions 524 to 776 of the family's 1533-position model. The record is from RNAcentral. Lineage: Bacteria; Bacillati; Chloroflexota; Caldilineae; Caldilineales; Caldilineaceae.
AACGUAGGAGGCGAGCGUUAUCCGGAUUUACUGGGCGUAAAGCGUACGCAGGCGGCUUCGUUAGUCGGGUGUGAAAGCUCCUAGCUUAACUGGGAGAGGCCAUUCGAUACUGCGAGGCUUGAGGUUGGGAGAGGGGUGUGGAAUUCCCGGUGUAGUGGUGGAAUGCGUAGAUAUCGGGAGGAACACCUGUGGCGAAAGCGGCACCCUGGCCCACACCUGACGCUGAGGUACGAAAGCGUGGGGAGUAAACAGG